This 602-nucleotide ribosomal RNA is filed under the name Colletotrichum acutatum. RNAcentral describes it as "eukaryotic LSU rRNA". The stretch from base 241 to 394 matches the Rfam family "5.8S ribosomal RNA". Lineage: Eukaryota; Fungi; Ascomycota; Sordariomycetes; Glomerellales; Glomerellaceae. The record is from RNAcentral.
UAGAGGAAGUAAAAGUCGUAACAAGGUCUCCGUUGGUGAACCAGCGGAGGGAUCAUUACUGAGUUACCGCUCUAUAACCCUUUGUGAACAUACCUAACCGUUGCUUCGGCGGGCAGGGGAAGCCUCUCGCGGGCCUCCCCUCCCGGCGCCGGCCCCCACCACGGGGACGGGGCGCCCGCCGGAGGAAACCAAACUCUAUUUACACGACGUCUCUUCUGAGUGGCACAAGCAAAUAAUUAAAACUUUUAACAACGGAUCUCUUGGUUCUGGCAUCGAUGAAGAACGCAGCGAAAUGCGAUAAGUAAUGUGAAUUGCAGAAUUCAGUGAAUCAUCGAAUCUUUGAACGCACAUUGCGCUCGCCAGCAUUCUGGCGAGCAUGCCUGUUCGAGCGUCAUUUCAACCCUCAAGCACCGCUUGGUUUUGGGGCCCCACGGCACACGUGGGCCCUUAAAGGUAGUGGCGGACCCUCCCGGAGCCUCCUUUGCGUAGUAACUAACGUCUCGCACUGGGAUCCGGAGGGACUCUUGCCGUAAAACCCCCAAAUUUUUUACAGGUUGACCUCGGAUCAGGUAGGAAUACCCGCUGAACUUAAGCAUAUCAAA